This is a long non-coding RNA of Olea europaea var. sylvestris, 860 nucleotides long. RefSeq lists it as uncharacterized. Lineage: Eukaryota; Viridiplantae; Streptophyta; Magnoliopsida; Lamiales; Oleaceae. The transcript is spliced from 2 exons. The record is from RefSeq and is a predicted model, not a curated record.
UCUUUCACCAAAACUCAUUUUCCACCCCACAAAAUGCUCCCCGCCAAACAGAGAAAGAAACCCAUGAAGAGUUCGCUGCCGAGAGAAACACACCCAUGAAGAUUAGGCCGUCGACUUGGUUUUCAUCUCCAGCAAAUUUCGCUCAAUUGAACCGUGAAUAAGCCCAAGGUUUUCAGCUACAUAACUAUUACUCUUGCAUAAACCCUAACCUCCUACCCAUUUUGCCAUCGUAGUAGUGACUAUCUCCGGCCGGCGUCAUUCAACAGUUCCAUUGAGAGGCCAACUUCUUCAGAUCUUAUCUCCAUCCCAUUUUGCGAGUAAAGUUUAUUAUUUGUUUCAUAUCCUUUGCACAUUUCUUGGGAAGAAGCACAAAGCACUACUUUGAAGAUUGCAAGAGGAAAGUUUGCUGUCCACAGUGUGUAGUUGGAAUUCAGAAAUGUUUUGCAGUUGAAAAGGAAGGCAGUAACAAAGGUAGGCUAUUCAAAACUUGCAGUAGCUCUUGCGAAUUUUUUGACUGGGUAAGAACAGAAGAAUCAAGUGGAGAGUCGAGUGUCAUUAAUGAGGAAGUGAUGAAUCCUACUGCUAAUGAGGAAGUCGACAAUUUGCCAAGUAUGUUCGAACAUCUAGCUCGAAUUGUCGAGAAACGAAACGUCAAGAUUUUAUUGAACGUGACCUUUCGCAAAGGAAAAGAGCUCUCGAACGAUAAUGGAGAAGAAAGGGGCCGACAUGAUUAUUAGUUAUAUUCAUUCUCGUUCCCAAAAUAGUUGUGUGUUUGGGCUUGUAAUACCGAGAGACGAUGAAGAAAAUCGAAGAAGAACAAUUUUCAUUUUGAAAGCAUGCCAUUUUCGUUCUUAUUUUCA